GCACUGCUGGUGUAGUGGUGUCAUGCAAGAUUCCCAUUCUUGCGACCCGGGUUCGAUUCCCGGGCAGUGCA
Molecule: non-coding RNA, 71 nt
Organism: Ciona savignyi (Pacific transparent sea squirt)
Lineage: Eukaryota; Metazoa; Chordata; Ascidiacea; Phlebobranchia; Cionidae
Source: Rfam